RNAcentral lists this ribosomal RNA (1178 nucleotides) under uncultured Enterobacteriaceae bacterium. RNAcentral's name for it is "partial 16S ribosomal RNA". The stretch from base 1 to 904 matches the Rfam family "Bacterial small subunit ribosomal RNA". The record is from RNAcentral. Lineage: Bacteria; Pseudomonadati; Pseudomonadota; Gammaproteobacteria; Enterobacterales; Enterobacteriaceae.
GAUGAACGCUGGCGGCGUGCCUAAUACAUGCAAGUCGAACGAGUUCUGAUUAUUGAAAGGUGCUUGCAUCUUGAUUUAAUUUUGAACGAGUGGCGGACGGGUGAGUAACACGUGGGUAACCUGCCCUUAAGUGGGGGAUAACAUUUGGAAACAGAUGCUAAUACCGCAUAAAUCCAAGAACCGCAUGGUUCUUGGCUGAAAGAUGGCGUAAGCUAUCGCUUUUGGAUGGACCCGCGGCGUAUUAGCUAGUUGGUGAGGUAACGGCUCACCAAGGCAAUGAUACGUAGCCGAACUGAGAGGUUGAUCGGCCACAUUGGGACUGAGACACGGCCCAAACUCCUACGGGAGGCAGCAGUAGGGAAUCUUCCACAAUGGACGCAAGUCUGAUGGAGCAACGCCGCGUGAGUGAAGAAGGCUUUCGGGUCGUAAAACUCUGUUGUUGGAGAAGAAUGGUCGGCAGAGUAACUGUUGUCGGCGUGACGGUAUCCAACCAGAAUGCCACGGCUAACUACGUGCCAGCAGCCGCGGUAAUACGUAGGUGGCAAGCGUUAUCCGGAUUUAUUGGGCGUAAAGCGAGCGCAGGCGGUUUUUUAAGUCUGAUGUGAAAGCCCUCGGCUUAACCGAGGAAGUGCAUCGGAAACUGGGAGACUUGAGUGCAGAAGAGGACAGUGGAACUCCCUGUGUAGCGGUGAAAUGCGUAAAUAUAUGGAAGAACACCACUGGCAAAGCGGCUGUCUGGUCUGGAACUGACGCUGAGGGUCGGAAGAUGGGUGCGAACAAGAAUAUAUACCCUUGUAUCCAAGGGCAAUACCAAGUGGAGAUGAAGGUAUCGAUACCGUCCCCUCGGGGGGGGCCCGGGACCCGGUGUAUUCCCGGAGGAAGAAAUAUAUGUAUUCCCCCCGUUGUGGGGUGGUUCUCCCCUGUUUUCCCCCCCCCCCCCCGCUUUUAUAAUAAUAAAACAAAGGAGACCCUUUUUAUACAACAAAAAGUUGUGAUGUUGGGUGUGAGCGCCCCCCCCCCCCUUCUUCUACAACGACUAAAAAAAAAUUAGGGAAGAUAUCAUCGUGGGGCAGGCCCCGGGGGAGCUACUUUUUUAUGGGGGCCCCCCCGCGAGCGCUCUUCUCCCCUAUGAGGGCGUAUAUCCCCCCCCCUCUCGCCCUUCUUAAAAAUAAAAAACA